GAUGAACGCUGGCGGCGUGCCUAAUACAUGCAAGUCGAGCGAACAGACGAGGAGCUUGCUCCUCUGACGUUAGCGGCGGACGGGUGAGUAACACGUGGAUAACCUACCUAUAAGACUGGGAUAACUUCGGGAAACCGGAGCUAAUACCGGAUAACAUGUUGAACCGCAUGGUUCAACAGUGAAAGACGGUCUUGCUGUCACUUAUAGAUGGAUCCGCGCCGCAUUAGCUAGUUGGUAAGGUAACGGCUUACCAAGGCAACGAUGCGUAGCCGACCUGAGAGGGUGAUCGGCCACACUGGAACUGAGACACGGUCCAGACUCCUACGGGAGGCAGCAGUAGCGAAUCUUCCGCAAUGGGCGAAAGCCUGACGGAGCAACGCCGCGUGAGUGAAGAAGGUCUUCGGAUCGUAAAACUCUGUUAUUAGGGAAGAACAAAUGUGUAAGUAACUAUGCACGUCUUGACGGUACCUAAUCAGAAAGCCACGGCUAACUACGUG
Molecule: ribosomal RNA, 497 nt
Filed under: uncultured bacterium
Lineage: Bacteria
Description: partial 16S ribosomal RNA
Rfam family: Bacterial small subunit ribosomal RNA
Source: RNAcentral